Molecule: transfer RNA, 59 nt
Filed under: Alticola macrotis (large-eared vole)
Lineage: Eukaryota; Metazoa; Chordata; Mammalia; Rodentia; Cricetidae
Description: tRNA-Ser
Source: RNAcentral
AAGAAAGCAUGCAAGAGCUGCUAACUCAUGCCUCCGUAUUUAAGCAUACGGCUUUCUUA